This 432-nucleotide ribosomal RNA is filed under the name uncultured bacterium. RNAcentral describes it as "partial 16S ribosomal RNA". It matches the Rfam family "Bacterial small subunit ribosomal RNA", at positions 29 to 506 of the family's 1533-position model. The record is from RNAcentral.
AACGAACGCUGGCGGCAUGCCUAACACAUGCAAGUCGAACGAGACCUUCGGGUCUAGUGGCGCACGGGUGCGUAACGCGUGGGAACCUGCCCUUAGGUCCGGAAUAACUCCCCGAAAGGGGUGCUAAUACCGGAUAAUGUCUUCGGACCAAAGAUUUAUCGCCUUUGGAUGGGCCCGCGUUGGAUUAGCUAGUUGGUAGGGUAAAAGCCUACCAAGGCGACGAUCCAUAGCUGGUCUGAGAGGAUGAUCAGCCACACUGGGACUGAGACACGGCCCAGACUCCUACGGGAGGCAGCAGUGGGGAAUAUUGGACAAUGGGCGAAAGCCUGAUCCAGCAAUGCCGCGUGAGUGAUGAAGGCCUUAGGGUUGUAAAGCUCUUUUACCCGGGAUGAUAAUGACAGUACCGGGAGAAUAAGCUCCGGCUAACUCCGU